Molecule: ribosomal RNA, 380 nt
Filed under: uncultured eukaryote
Lineage: Eukaryota
Description: partial 18S ribosomal RNA
Rfam family: Eukaryotic small subunit ribosomal RNA
Source: RNAcentral
CAAUAGCGUAUAUUAAAGUUGUUGCGGUUAAAAAGCUCGUAGUUGGAUUUCUGCCGAGGACGACCGGUCCGCCCUCUGGGUGUGUAUCUGGUUUGGCCUGGGCAUCUUCUUGGAGAACGUAGCUGCACUUGACUGUGUGGUGCGGUGUCCAGGACUUUUACUUUGAGGAAAUUAGAGUGUUUCAAGCAGGCAAUCGCCGUGAAUAUGAUAGCAUGGAAUAAUAGCACAGGACUCUUGGUUCAAUGCUGUUGGUUGAUUGAACUAGAGUAAUCAUAAUAAGGAUAGUUGGGGGUAUUCGUAUUUAACUGUCAGAGGUGAAAUUCUUGGAUUUUUUAAAGACGAACAAUUGCGAAGGCAUCUACCCAGGAUGUUUUUGUUGA